GGGUUUACCCAUUGGUCAGGCUUAAUUGUCUGUACUGGUGAGAUAAAUCUCUCCCUUCUGACGAACCAUGAUGUCAUUUAUUUGGUGUUGUGGGGAAUCAGGACUGUUACUUUGAAAAAAUUAGAGUGUUUAAAGCAGGCUCACGCUUGAAUACAUUAGCAUGGAAUAAUGAAAUAGGACGUUUGAUUCUAUUUUGUUGGUUUCUAGGAUCGACGUA
Molecule: ribosomal RNA, 217 nt
Filed under: Campeiostachys nutans
Lineage: Eukaryota; Viridiplantae; Streptophyta; Magnoliopsida; Poales; Poaceae
Description: Elymus nutans partial small subunit ribosomal RNA
Rfam family: Eukaryotic small subunit ribosomal RNA (bases 44-217)
Source: RNAcentral